Molecule: ribosomal RNA, 390 nt
Filed under: uncultured bacterium
Lineage: Bacteria
Description: bacterial SSU rRNA
Rfam family: Bacterial small subunit ribosomal RNA
Source: RNAcentral
AUUGAACGCUGGCGGCAUGCCUUACACAUGCAAGUCGAACGGCAGCACGGGAGCAAUCCUGGUGGCGAGUGGCGAACGGGUGAGUAAUGUAUCGGAACGUACCUUUCAGUGGGGGAUAACGUAGCGAAAGUUACGCUAAUACCGCAUAUUCUGUGAGCAGGAAAGCAGGGGAUCGCAAGACCUUGCGCUGAUUGAGCGGCCGAUAUCAGAUUAGCUAGUUGGUGAGGUAAAGGCUCACCAAGGCGACGAUCUGUAGCGGGUCUGAGAGGAUGAUCCGCCACACUGGAACUGAGACACGGUCCAGACUCCUACGGGAGGCAGCAGUGGGGAAUUUUGGACAAUGGGCGCAAGCCUGAUCCAGCCAUGCCGCGCGAGUGAAGAAGGCCUCGG